RNAcentral lists this ribosomal RNA (520 nucleotides) under uncultured bacterium. Its description in RNAcentral is "bacterial SSU rRNA". It matches the Rfam family "Bacterial small subunit ribosomal RNA", at positions 73 to 629 of the family's 1533-position model. The record is from RNAcentral.
AUAAGCUUCAUUCUUUCAUCUUAGUGGCGGACGGGUGAGUAACGUGUGGGCACCUGCCCUGUACUGUGGAAUAAUCAUUGGAAACGAUGACUAAUACCGCAUGUGAAGGCAUCUGAAAAUUUAUUCGGUACAGGAUGGGCCCGCAUCUGAUUACUAGUUGGUGAGAUAACAGCCCACCAAGGCGACGAUCAGUAGCCGACCUGAGAGGGUGAUCGGCCACAUUGGGACUGAGACACGGCCCAAACUCCUACGGGAGGCAGCAGUGGGGAAUAUUGCACAAUGGGCGAAAGCCUGAUGCAGCAACGCCGCGUGAAGGAUGAAGGGUUUCGGCUCGUAAACUUCUAUCAAUAGGGAAGAAACAAAUGACGUACCUAAAAAGAAGCCCCGGCUAACUACGUGCCAGCAGCCGCGGUAAUACGUAGGGGGCAAGCGUUAUCCGGAAUUACUGGGUGUAAAGGGAGCGUAGGCGGCAUGGUAAGCCAGAUGUGAAAGCCUUGGGCUUAACCCGAGGAUGCAUUUG